RNAcentral lists this ribosomal RNA (1260 nucleotides) under Zobellia uliginosa. RNAcentral's name for it is "16S ribosomal RNA". It matches the Rfam family "Bacterial small subunit ribosomal RNA", at positions 104 to 1366 of the family's 1533-position model. Lineage: Bacteria; Pseudomonadati; Bacteroidota; Flavobacteriia; Flavobacteriales; Flavobacteriaceae. The record is from RNAcentral.
GGGUGCGCAACGCGUAUACAAUCUGCCCCCUACAGUUGGGAUAGCCCAGAGAAAUUUGGAUUAAUACCACAUGGUACCAUAUUACGGCAUCGUAUUUAUGGUUAAAGGUUACGGUAGGGUAUGAGUAUGCGUCCCAUUAGUUAGUUGGUNAGGUANCGGCUCACCAAGACCGCGAUGGGUAGGGUCCCUGAGAGGGGUAUNCNNNACACUGGUACUGAGACACGGACCAGUCUCCUACGGGAGGCAGCANUGAGGAAUAUUGGACAAUGGGCGGGANCCUGAUCCAGCCAUGCCGCGUGCAGGAAGAAUGCCCUAUGGGUAGUAAACUNCUUUUAUACGGGAAGAAAAAGGGCUACGUGUAGCCUACUGACGGUACCGUAAGAAUAAGGACCGGCUANCUCCGUGCCAGCANCCNCGGNNAUNCGGAGGGUCCUAGCGUUAUCCGGAAUUAUUGGGUUUAAAGGGUCCGUAGGCGGGCCGAUAAGUCAGGGGUGAAAGUUUGCAGCUCAACUGUAAAAUUGCCUUUGAUACUGUCGGUCUUGAGUUAUAGUGAAGUUGCCGGAAUAUGUAGUGUAGCGGUGAAAUGCAUAGAUAUUACAUAGAACACCGAUUGCGAAGGCAGGUGACUAACUAUAUACUGACGCUGAUGGACUAAAGCGUGGGGAGCGAACAGGAUUAGAUACCCUGGUAGUCCNCGCCGUAAACGAUGGAUACUAGCUGUCCGGGUUCUUGAGCCUGGNCGGCCAAGCGAAAGUGAUAAGUAUCCCACCUGGGGAGUACGUUCGCAAGAAUGAAACUCAAAGGAAUUGACGGGNNCCCGCACAAGCGGUGGAGCAUGUGGUUUAAUUCGAUGAUACGCGAGGAACCUUACCAGGGCUUAAAUGCAUAUUGNCAGGGGUAGAGAUACCNNNUCCUUCGGGCAAUUUGCAAGGUGCUGCAUGGUUGUCGUCAGCUCGUGCCGUGAGGUGUUAGGUUAAGUCCUAUAACGAGCGCAACCCCUACCGUUAGUUGCCAGCGAGUNAUGUCGGGGACUCUAACGGGACUGCCGGUGCAAACCGUGAGGAAGGUGGGGACGACGUCAAAUCAUCACGGCCCUUACGUCCUGGNCNACACACGUGCUACAAUGGCCGGUACAGCGGGNAGCCAUGCGGCAACGCAGAGCGGAUCCACAAAACCGGUCACAGUUCGGAUCGGGGUCUGCANCUCGACCCCGUGAAGCUGGAAUCGCUAGUAAUCGGAUAUCAGCCAUGAUCCGGUGAA